This is a long non-coding RNA of Choloepus didactylus (southern two-toed sloth), 1589 nucleotides long. RefSeq lists it as uncharacterized. Lineage: Eukaryota; Metazoa; Chordata; Mammalia; Pilosa; Megalonychidae. The record is from RefSeq and is a predicted model, not a curated record. The transcript has 3 exons.
AUGAUUGCAUAAGAUAUUCACAUUAUAGACAUAAACCUCAUAUCUGCAUAAUUUCCCUCACAUUUUUCUGUAAUCCCUGUCUUUUUAAGGAGAUAUUAUGCCAGUUAACAUCUGAGUAUUGUCUAUGUGCUGGGCAGGAUUCCAAACUCUUCCACAGACCACGACUAAUCCUGUAACUCUUACCAGGAAGGUCUAUUAUCAGUGAUAGACAUGAGGAAUCGGAUGCAGUAAUUCUCAACGUGCGUUCCCCUGACCAGCAGCGUCAGCAUCACUGGAGAGCUUGUUAGAAAUGCAGAUUCUCAGGCCCCACCCCAGACCUACCAAAUCAGAAACUUUGGGCUGGGGCCAGCAAUCUGUUUUGACACACCUUCCAGGUGACGGUGUUAAAUGCUCGAGUUUGAGGACCACUGAGGGAAACUGAAGGCUCAAGUUCACACAGAUAUUUCCCUUCUUCUGCAACUAAACUGGAGAAUCAGCAGUGAACCUUCCAAGGUUAAGAAGCAGUGGUCCAAGCCUACACAUUCUUUCAAGUGUCCAAGCUUUGUCACCCUCAUUUAUCACCAGAGACUCGACAAUGGGGAGUAAGGUUGGUCGGAUUUAUAUUUAGGUUCUUGAGGGUAGGUGAAUGGCAACUGGAAAAUCCCUGUGAAAUGUGAACUUCCUGCAAAAUAACUUCCUUGAUUUUUUUCACUGAUUUCACUUUAGGUUAACGUUCUUUGCAGCUGCUUACUGGUACUUCCCUAGAUCUGCAGAAGAUGGUUUCAUAGUCAUCACCUCAGAAGAAAAAGAAAAAAAAAUUUUUUUAAAUUUAUUUUCAAGAAAAAACUAUUCACUGCUAAGCCAAGUGGCGGCAUAAUCAGCAAGCCUCCUUAGGGACCUGUCCUGUCCUGAGAAGGCAGAGGAGCGCAGUGACAGAGGAGGGACGCGAGGUCAGAUCCACGCGGAGGAGACCUGGCCGUCACUGUGGGAAAUGGGCGGGGGCCUUAGCCUCACAGCAUCAGUCUCCUCAUCCCUGAAAUGGGGAAGGUCGUGUCUGCACCAUGGGUGUCUUGUCAGGACUCCUUUACCAGUGCUAGCCCCUGCACCAAGUUCUCUGAGGUGUCUCAGUCACAAAUGGUAGCUCUCGUCAUCUUAGGAGGACCCUAACUCGUAAGAUGCCACUUUCCCCCUCGUUUUACCUGUCUGCUUCUGUUCCUUCCAUUCAGUGCACAUGAACGCAUAUGUUUCUCUACUCUCUUGUAAUUGUUUAUUACAGAUCUACCUCUCCCUUUUCACUUCCUUAACUGAUUAUUCAUCAAAUCAUUUGAGAAAGUAUUAGAAGUGAAAUUUGGGAAAAUGAGACUUCUUCCUCCCUUUAAGACGCAUGGCUUCUGCAUGGCCAGGUUGCAUCAUGGUCUAAGACGGUGGCCACUGACCUAUGUCAUGCCCUUCUUUUGUAUAACUCACCCCACCCAUCUUACCAUGUCACAUUUCAGAAGGCUGAUGCUUCUCAAAAUCAGUAGGCAUUGCAGCCAACUAAGUGAGUUUUCUUUUUGCCUUAUAAAGCCAUAAAGAACUGAAGAUAGUUCCAGUGUUAUACUUUAAUAUUA